GAUGAACGCUGGCGGCGUGCCUAACACAUGCAAGUCGAGCGAGAUAAAUGUGAGUGGAGACUUCGGUCAAAGCGAUCAUUUUGAAAGCGGCGGACGGGUGAGUAACGCGUGAGCAAUCUGCCCCAUACAAAGGGAUACCCACUGGAAACGGUGAUUAAUACCUUAUAAGACCACGAAGUCGCCUGGCUUAGUGGCCAAAGAUUUAUCGGUAUGGGAUGAGCUCGCGUCUGAUUAGCUAGUUGGUGAGGUAAUGGCUCACCAAGGCGACGAUCAGUAGCCGCCCUGAGAGGGUGAACGGCCACACUGGAACUGGGACGCGGUCCAGACUCCUACGGGAGGCAGCAGUGGGGAAUAUUGCACAAUGGGCGCAAGCCUGAUGCAGCAACGCCGCGUGAAUGAUGAAGGCCUUCGGGUCGUAAAGUUCUGUCCUAAGGGAAGAAUACAGUGACGGUACCUUAGGAGGAAGCCCCGGCUAACUACGUGCCAGCAGCCGCCGUAA
RNAcentral lists this ribosomal RNA (499 nucleotides) under uncultured bacterium. Its description in RNAcentral is "partial 16S ribosomal RNA". It matches the Rfam family "Bacterial small subunit ribosomal RNA", at positions 28 to 523 of the family's 1533-position model. The record is from RNAcentral.